GACGAACGCUGGCGGCGUGCUUAACACAUGCAAGUCGAACGGAAAGGCCCUGCUUUUGUGGGGUGCUCGAGUGGCGAACGGGUGAGUAACACGUGAGUAACCUGCCCUUGACUUUGGGAUAACUUCAGGAAACUGGGGCUAAUACCGGAUAGGAGCUCCUGCUGCAUGGUGGGGGUUGGAAAGUUUCGGCGGUUGGGGAUGGACUCGCGGCUUAUCAGCUUGUUGGUGGGGUAGUGGCUUACCAAGGCUUUGACGGGUAGCCGGCCUGAGAGGGUGACCGGCCACAUUGGGACUGAGAUACGGCCCAGACUUCUACGGGAGGCAGCAGUGGGGAAUAUUGCACAAUGGGCGGAAGCCUGAUGCAGCAACGCCGCGUGCGGGAUGAAGGCCUUCGGGUUGUAAACCGCUUUCGCCUGUGACGAAGCGUGAGUGACGGUAAUGGGUAAAGAAGCACCGGCUAACUACGUG
This 468-nucleotide ribosomal RNA is filed under the name uncultured bacterium. RNAcentral describes it as "partial 16S ribosomal RNA". It matches the Rfam family "Bacterial small subunit ribosomal RNA", at positions 28 to 507 of the family's 1533-position model. The record is from RNAcentral.